UGAACGCUGGCGGCGUGCCUAAUACAUGCAAGUCGAGCGAACAGAUGAGGAGCUUGCUCCUCUGACGUUAGCGGCGGACGGGUGAGUAACACGUGGAUAACCUACCUAUAAGACUGGGAUAACUUCGGGAAACCGGAGCUAAUACCGGAUAAUAUAUUGAACCGCAUGGUUCACUAGUGAAAGACGGUUUUGCUGUCACUUAUAGAUGGAUCCGCGCCGCAUUAGCUAGUUGGUAAGGUAACGGCUUACCAAGGCGACGAUGCGUAGCCGACCUGAGAGGGUGAUCGGCCACACUGGAACUGAGACACGGUCCAGACUCCUACGGGAGGCAGCAGUAGGGAAUCUUCCGCAAUGGGCGAAAGCCUGACGGAGCAACGCCGCGUGAGUGAUGAAGGUCUUCGGAUCGUAAAACUCUGUUAUUAGGGAAGAACAAAUGUGUAAGUAACUAUGCACGUCUUGACGGUACCUAAUCAGAAAGCCACGGCUAACUACGUG
This 495-nucleotide ribosomal RNA is filed under the name uncultured bacterium. Its description in RNAcentral is "partial 16S ribosomal RNA". It matches the Rfam family "Bacterial small subunit ribosomal RNA", at positions 30 to 507 of the family's 1533-position model. The record is from RNAcentral.